AGAGUUUGAUCCGGCUCAGGAUGAACGCUAGCUACAGGCUUAACACAUGCAAGUCGAGGGGCAUCGCGGGGUAGCAAUACCCUGGCGGCGACCGGCGCACGGGUGAGUAACACGUAUCCAACCUGCCUUCAGCUCGGGGAUAGCCCUCUGAAAGGAGGAUUAAUACCCGAUGUGUUUGGUAUGGGACAUCCCAUUCCAAAUAAAGAUUUAUCGGCUGAUGAUGGGGAUGCGUAUGAUUAGCUUGUUGGCGGGGUAACGGCCCACCAAGGCGACGAUCAUUAGGGGUUCUGAGAGGAAGGUCCCCCACAUAGGAACUGAGACACGGUCCUAACUCCUACGGGAGGCAGCAGUGAGGAAUAUUGGUCAAUGGCCGUAAGGCUGAACCAGCCAAGUAGCGUGAAGGAAUGACUGCCCUACGGGUUGUAAACUUCUUUUACGGGAGGAUAAAGUGUGUCACGUGUGGCAUAUUGCAGGUAUCCCGUGAAUAAGCAUCGGCUAAUUCCGUGCCAGCAGCCGC
This 517-nucleotide ribosomal RNA is filed under the name uncultured bacterium. RNAcentral's name for it is "bacterial SSU rRNA". It matches the Rfam family "Bacterial small subunit ribosomal RNA", at positions 8 to 518 of the family's 1533-position model. The record is from RNAcentral.